GACAGACACGCAGACAAAAAUCCUGCCUUCUGCAUCGCUUCCUGCGGAUUUCUGUUAUUUCCUAGAAUCCUGCUAGUUCUCUUUGUUGUUUUUAUUUCAUUGAUAGCUUUGCUUUGCAAUUGUUUCCUUUGCUCUGCUGUAUGAGAAGUGUUGAAUCACAGCCUGAACCCCAGACGGAGCAGCUGAGGAAAGCAGCCGGUGAGCCCUGGGAGCGCAGCUGAAGGCAAUGGAGCUCUGUGGCCGGAAGGAGCGGAGACUGGCUGCCUCUCUUGGAGCUCAUUUAAGGGCUGACUGGCACAGGAGAAGGGCUUGGUUCUGGAAGGUUCUCUGCCAUGGAGUUUGAACUGUCGGUGUAAAUCCUUGGAGAUGUGUGACACCCCUGGCCCGUCAGGUAAUUCAGCAGGGAGUUGUGCCUUCUUAUGAAGCUGUGACAGUUGAUCCUUUCUUUUGCGUCCUGACUUGAUCCGUCUGGAGCUGCUGUGAUGGCCUUCCCAUUGCCCUUAGUUCUAAGGCUCUGUAUCUGCUGUUCCAAACCAGCGUUCUGUGGAGCUGAACCCAGUAGAGAAAGGUCUGGUGCUGAAGAUUGCGGAGCUGUUAUGUAAUGAAGAUGCCAGUGAUGGAAGAGCAAACUGCUGGGUUGAGAAAGCUGCCAGGCUGCUCCCUGGGAAUCCUGUUGCUCUCAGAU
This is a long non-coding RNA of Tympanuchus pallidicinctus (lesser prairie-chicken), 685 nucleotides long. RefSeq lists it as uncharacterized. The record is from RefSeq and is a predicted model, not a curated record. NCBI's taxonomy places the organism in Eukaryota, Metazoa, Chordata, Aves, Galliformes, Phasianidae. The transcript has 3 exons.